RNAcentral lists this ribosomal RNA (617 nucleotides) under Hansenula anomala. RNAcentral describes it as "Wickerhamomyces anomalus partial large subunit ribosomal RNA". It matches the Rfam family "Eukaryotic large subunit ribosomal RNA", at positions 40 to 669 of the family's 3401-position model. Lineage: Eukaryota; Fungi; Ascomycota; Saccharomycetes; Phaffomycetales; Wickerhamomycetaceae. The record is from RNAcentral.
AUUUCCCAAUAGCGGAGGAAAAGAAACCAACAGGGAUUGCCUCAGUAACGGCGAGUGAAGCGGCAAAAGCUCAAAUUUGAAAUCUAGCACCUUCGGUGUUUGAGUUGUAAUUUGAAGAUGGUAACCUUGGGUUUGGCUCUUGUCUAUGUUCCUUGGAACAGGACGUCAUAGAGGGUGAGAAUCCCGUCUGAUGAGAUGCCCAUUCCUAUGUAAGGUGCUAUCGAAGAGUCGAGUUGUUUGGGAAUGCAGCUCUAAGUGGGUGGUAAAUUCCAUCUAAAGCUAAAUAUUGGCGAGAGACCGAUAGCGAACAAGUACAGUGAUGGAAAGAUGAAAAGAACUUUGAAAAGAGAGUGAAAAAGUACGUGAAAUUGUUGAAAGGGAAGGGCAUUAGAUCAGACUUGGUGUUUUACGAUUAUCUUCUCUUCUUGAGUUGUGCACUCGUAUUUCACUGGGCCAGCAUCGAUUCGGAUGGCAAGAUAAUGGCAGUUGAAUGUGGCUUCACUUCGGUGGAGUGUUAUAGCUUCUGCUGAUAUUGCCUGUCUGGAUCGAGGGCUGCGUCUUUUGACUAGGAUGCUGGCGUAAUGAUCUAAUGCCGCCCGUUUAAAAACCCGGAACCA